Molecule: microRNA precursor, 84 nt
Filed under: Bombyx mori (domestic silkworm)
Lineage: Eukaryota; Metazoa; Arthropoda; Insecta; Lepidoptera; Bombycidae
Description: mir-2807 microRNA precursor family
Rfam family: mir-2807 microRNA precursor family
Source: Rfam by way of RNAcentral
UUAACUCAUAUUUCUAUGCAGUUGGAACAGCGCCCCUAGCGGCAAACGCAGGCAAACAUUUCAACUCCAUACAAAUUUUAGUUA